UACGAGGGGGGCGAGCGUUGUUCGGAAUUAUUGGGCGUAAAGGGUGCGUAGGCGGUUCCGCAAGUCCUGUGUGAAAUCUUCGGGCUCAACUCGAAGUCUGCACGGGAAACUGCGGGGCUUGAGUGUGGGAGAGGUGAGUGGAAUUCCCGGUGUAGCGGUGAAUGCGUAGAUAUCGGGAGGAACACCUGUGGCGAAAGCGGCUCACUGGACCAUAACUGACGCUGAUGCACGAAAGCUGGGGGGAGCAAACAGG
RNAcentral lists this ribosomal RNA (253 nucleotides) under uncultured bacterium. Its description in RNAcentral is "partial 16S ribosomal RNA". It matches the Rfam family "Bacterial small subunit ribosomal RNA", at positions 524 to 776 of the family's 1533-position model. The record is from RNAcentral.